Zea mays is the source of this 308-nucleotide non-coding RNA. The record is from Rfam. Lineage: Eukaryota; Viridiplantae; Streptophyta; Magnoliopsida; Poales; Poaceae.
GCCGAGCUCUGUAGCGAGAGCUUGUAACCCGAGCGGGGGCAUUAAGGUGGUGCGGAUUCUUUGCGAUGGCUUUCUGGGCCCGGGCUCGCUAUGUGCCUUUGGCCGGCCUGCCCGUCCCAAGUUGGUAGUGGCUGGCGGAGGCUUUAGCGGAAGCUUUGGUCUCUCCAGACCUGAAGUGGCAGGAAUGGCGUGAGGCUGGCUUCACAGAGCAGCGAUCACUGCCCGCUUCCAACGGUGGGAGGAUAACGGGCCGCUGCACUUCGAGCCCAACUCAGGCCCAGAGCCUCACUAAGCAGACCACCAUCUUU